This 22-nucleotide microRNA is filed under the name Gadus morhua (Atlantic cod). RNAcentral describes it as "gmo-miR-223b-3p". Its record names the gene gmo-miR-223b-3p. Lineage: Eukaryota; Metazoa; Chordata; Actinopteri; Gadiformes; Gadidae. The record is from miRBase by way of RNAcentral.
GCUCAGCUUGUCAAAUACACUA